GGUUGGUUAUUUUAAUAUGGCCCGUUCUGGAAACCACCUCAGAUGAAGGUAGUGUUUUUGUUGACCUGCUAGUUUAGAUUUUAUUAAUACUUAUCUCUGUCAUUAUCUUUUUAUUUACUUGAAAUUCUGUGUUCAUGUCCAUUUUAUACCAAAUAUGUUUGAUACCUAUGUUAAUCCUUAUAAUAAAGUUUUCCUUGAUUUGCAAUUAUGUUGCAAAUGUUCUUGUAUAUGGAGGUUGGCAAAAUCAUGGGAUCAAUUUAGAAAUAUCAUGUGUGCUUAUUUAAUAUACUAUGACAACGAAUAAAAUGGCAUAUGAUUUGAGAAUUUGUUUUAUGAUGAUCAUUUGUAUAAAUUUUAGUAGGCCAUCUUUUGAACUGAUUUAUAGGUUUAUAACUAGGAUGAGAUUGUAAAUAAGAUGUUCUCGAGAAGUGAGAGAUCGGCAUUGAAGAAUGCUUAUCAAGUAUCUCUGGAUUGAUUUAAUUGAAGGCAAACAAGAAAAGAAGCAUAUGGUCCUAUCAACUGCAAAACUGCAUCACACAAUGUAAUAUUGAAUAACUUUUUGGGAUUGAAUUUGUC
This 576-nucleotide long non-coding RNA is filed under the name Musa acuminata (dwarf banana). RNAcentral's name for it is "long non-coding RNA (MACU_LNC009202)". Lineage: Eukaryota; Viridiplantae; Streptophyta; Magnoliopsida; Zingiberales; Musaceae. The record is from RNAcentral.